GGGCGGGAGCCGCUCGGAGGGGUCGCGGGGAGGUGGGGAACGAGCAGGAUGCUCCAGGCAGAGUCCCGGCAAGGGGAGAGCCCGCGGGGCCAAGAUUCCCCAGCUAGAGCGUCUCCAGGCUGGAGAGCUCAGGGACACCACAGGUUCUUGAGGGGCAGGAGCCCGUCAGAGCUCGGGUGCUGUGGCAGCACAGGAGACACGGCUGAAGGAGGGGCCUCAAAAGCCCCAAAGUGCCUCCAAGCGCCAUGGAGAGAGACUUCGGACAAGGGCCUGAAGUGAGUGGACACAGGUGUCCAGCACUGCCCGGAUCCCUCAGGGUGACGCACCGGCCCCGGCUCAGGUUUCCAGACAGUGGCACCUGGUCAGGAGCGGGUGACCUGCUCUGGGAAUGCGCCUGACUUCUGCGACAACAUCAUCAUCCACAUACCAAAAGAAUGAAACAAUGACUGAAAACAUUCACACAGUGCCUGGGAGCAGAUUUGCACAGAUAGGAGCUUUAUUUCACAAGAAAAAGUUGUAACUCAAAUUUGAUCUUACCAAAGGAGCCUCUGUUAAUUUAUCAGGUGUAAAUUCCCUAUCUCAGCUUUGAAUAUUAAUUUCAAAGAAGUAAAAUAAUAAAAGAGGUGGGCAAAGUAUAGCCAGGAGUAAACUGCUGCCAGUUUCUAUCAGCAGGGAAGUUUCUGCCCAGUGCAGAGGAGCUCUGGCUGUUUAAUUCUGACCAUCAUCCAAGCAGCUUCCCCAGGAAAAACUGCAGAGUUGGGUUAAUUUAUUAAGAGUUAAAAAAAAGCCUAAAGGUGGAGAAGCCCAAGUUUAUAACUGCUUGAGGAAAUUUCAAUGAGGCUCACAUUUCUGAGUGCAGCAGAGUUCUAUGUAAACUUCAAUUUUGCUUCUGUGUAGAGCAAAAGAAACUGGGCAAUUCACUACAAAUCUUUUUUCUUUCGCCUAUUUCCCUUAUAAGUAGUAACACAGUCAUCUAACCAAGGUGUUACAGUCACUCUUCAAAAGGUUCAAUGCAAAUUCAUUGAAAACAGAUAAUUAUUACCGUAGUUUGUUGCAAAGGUUGUUGCCAGGUAGUUGCCACACACAGUUGUGGCCUCUGCAGCCUUUCCUCCCCAUCUGGGGUAGAAUUUCAACAUCACAGCAAAACUUUAUGAACUGAAGUUACUUCCCACAUCCACAGAAAUAAAUUUUUGCAGGAUCCAAUUUGGACAGGCUGUUACUUUCAUCUCCUACGGCAGCGCUGUGUUCCCAGCAUGGAUGAAAGGGAAUAUUUUCAGGAAUAAAAUCCCCUGGGAUUGUUGUAACCAUGGUAACACAUAUAGAUAGCAGGCCUGGUUCCAACCCAUGUUUUAUUAUUCCAGCAGUAAAGAACUGGAUUCUAUAAAUAACCAUCCUUGGCCACUGCAAUAAAGUACUGCUCUUUUGCUUUCCCAUCAAAAUAAUUUUUUUUUAAUUAUUAUAUUCCUAUAGUUAAAACACUCAGGAUAAAGUGCCAAGAUCAGUUCUGUGAUCAAUCUAAGUGGGAAGUCUUGUUUCCUAAGCCACAGUGAGUGAGAAAGGGAAGAGUAUUCAGAUAUUUAAUGAAUACCAGAUAGAUAUGAAUAUUUCUGUAAUAAUAAAUUCAUAUUUCACUGCUGAAUAAAUAACAGAACUUUAAGCUUGAAAUAAAAAUUAAAAAAUAAAAAACAUC
Molecule: long non-coding RNA, 1690 nt
Organism: Parus major (Great Tit)
Lineage: Eukaryota; Metazoa; Chordata; Aves; Passeriformes; Paridae
Exons: 2
Source: RefSeq, a predicted model, not a curated record